GGAAGUGUGGCCGAGCGGUUGAAGGCACCGGUCUUGAAAACCGGCGACCCGAACGGGUUCCAGAGUUCGAAUCUCUGCGCUUCCGCCA
RNAcentral lists this transfer RNA (88 nucleotides) under Escherichia coli. RNAcentral describes it as "tRNA-Ser". It matches the Rfam family "tRNA". Rfam says of the family: Transfer RNA (tRNA) molecules are approximately 80 nucleotides in length. Lineage: Bacteria; Pseudomonadati; Pseudomonadota; Gammaproteobacteria; Enterobacterales; Enterobacteriaceae. RNAcentral also lists the same sequence under 1 other name. The record is from RNAcentral.